UAUCUCUGUAGAGUCUGCAUAUCAAUAAGCGGAGGAAAAGAAACUAACAAGGAUUCCCUUAGUAACGGCGAGUGAAGCGGGAAGAGCUCAAAUUUGAAAUCUUCAAGGUUCUACCUUGACGAAUUGUAGUUUAAAGAAGUGUUUUCUGUUAGAUGAGUAGCAAAAGUUCCUUGGAAUGGGACAUCAUAGAGGGUGAGAAUCCCGUAUUUGGUUAUUCAUUCUAGCUUUGUGAUACACUUUCAAAGAGUCGGAUUGUUUGGGAAUGCAGUCCAAAAUGGGUGGUAAAUUUCAUCUAAAGCUAAAUAUUGGCGAGAGACCGAUAGCGAACAAGUACCGUGAGGGAAAGAUGAAAAGAACUUUGAAAAGAGAGUUAAACAGUACGUGAAAUUGUCAAAAGGGAAGCGUUUGACACCAGUGUUGUUUUUCCGAAAAUCAAUUACGAAUGGCUUGAUUCUGUGUUGUAUUGACCUUAUCAGCUUUCUUCACUUUUUUCGAGUCUUUCUUAAUGCACUUUUCGGUUAACAAGUCAACAUCAAUUUCUUUUGUUGUAAAAGAGUAUUCGGAAGGUGGCUUUCUUUUCGGAGAAAGUGUUUAUAGCCCUAUACUUCUACAAUCGGAGAGAUUGAGGUCUGCAGCGUAGAUCCUUCGGGGUUAGAUACACUUGUGCUAAGUUGUAGCUUUUCAUAGACAACUUGUUGACUAUGUUUAGUCAUGCGGCUUACUCGCUUGUGCUAUUUUACCUACGCUUAGGAUGUUGAAGAUGUAGCACAUCA
RNAcentral lists this ribosomal RNA (773 nucleotides) under uncultured Neocallimastigales. RNAcentral's name for it is "partial large subunit ribosomal RNA". It matches the Rfam family "Eukaryotic large subunit ribosomal RNA", at positions 24 to 642 of the family's 3401-position model. Lineage: Eukaryota; Fungi; Neocallimastigomycota; Neocallimastigomycetes; Neocallimastigales. The record is from RNAcentral.